This 271-nucleotide signal recognition particle RNA is filed under the name Candidatus Woesearchaeota archaeon. RNAcentral describes it as "signal recognition particle sRNA". It matches the Rfam family "Archaeal signal recognition particle RNA". The record is from RNAcentral. Lineage: Archaea; Nanobdellati; Candidatus Woesearchaeota.
UUGCAGACUAGAUUGGCGGGUUAGCCCCUCGUUGUUGCCACAAACGGGCUUUAUGGUGGAAUCGAAUCCCAGAGAGAGGUAGAUGUAAUGUCAUAAGCCUCAGUCGUACCAUUGACCCUCUGUCCUGUUUGGUUGGUAUGAUAAGAAAUCAGGUCAGGGCAGGAAUGCAGCAGCCUUAACUUAUUAUAUCGGCGCUUGCAGGUUAACAGAGGAUAGGAAAAACUGAGACAAACUUAUGAUAUAUCAUUUAUCCAUCUCUGGGUGUCUGCAU